RNAcentral lists this unclassified non-coding RNA (248 nucleotides) under Glomeraceae sp. RNAcentral describes it as "partial contains 5.8S ribosomal RNA and internal transcribed spacer 2". The stretch from base 1 to 65 matches the Rfam family "5.8S ribosomal RNA", at positions 84 to 154 of the family's 154-position model. The record is from RNAcentral. Lineage: Eukaryota; Fungi; Glomeromycota; Glomeromycetes; Glomerales; Glomeraceae.
GUGAAUCAUCAAAUUUUUGAACGCAAAUUGCACUCUCCUCGGAGAGUAUGCCUGUUUGAGGGUCAGCCUAUAAAAAUCGACAUCGUUGCUGUUUCGCGGUGACGUUCGUCGGAAAUUGGGUCAUCUUAAAUCCUUUUGGUUUUAAGCAAUUUAAAAUUUUUUUUUUGUUUCAAUGUACGUGUUUCUAGGAUUUAUUUUUUUACACGUUUAAGGAAUCAUUUUUUAUUAAACUUAACCUUAUUUUUGGA